AGGAAAGCAAGGCAAUCCCCCUGAGCCAGCCCAUGCUGCAGCAGCCACUGUAGGGUCCCUGCGAGCCGGAGCCGCGGCGCUCCCCGUCCUGCCGGGCGCCGCCGGGGAACUUCAGGCAACCUGGGGAGCGGAGCAUUAAUAUCUCCAGGAUAAGCUGCUUGGUGCCAGUUGAAUCCACUUCUGCUUCUUUGGAUCACACUGAUGGGUAUUGCUGUUCACAGCUGUAAAACAGACAAAAUAACAUAGGAAAGAAAUAAUCCUUUGAAAUGUCAUGAAGGUACUCGGAUUUUGCAGACCACUGUGAGUUUCUCGUCUGGAAGGUGUUAUAUAUGACUUACACUGGGAGACAGCUGGCCCAUUCCCAUCUGAACCUGCUACAGAAUAACUUGAAAGUUUUUUUUGGGACUAAACAUUUCAGCAACUGAAGAACAAAUUAACCUUAUACAGUUUGAUCUUUUAUACUAUGUGAUUUUCAAGAGGACAGCAGAACUACACAAGAAUUACAUGGUCUUGCCAGAAACAAAAAAAAGAAUAAAAUAAACGGUAGAAAUACACUGAAAACUCUUGCCUGCUUAAUAGAAAUAUGAAAACAUUACUAAACAAAAUUGCUUAAGCCCUUGCUUAACUUCUGAAAUUAACAUACCAUUCACGUGUUAAUAAAGAAGCUGCCCACUCGCCUAGAGCCAAGAAUUUUUUUGGACUGGGACUGCACUUCUCAGCACCAGGCAACAUCACAUCUCUCUGAAACGGUCUUAUGACCCCAGUCUAUGAAGAAAUUCCUAAGAAACAUUUGAUCAGAUAAGAAGAAUGUUUUCAAGCAAUAAUCAUGCAGAGGUUUCCCAGAUGGAUGAUUUUGUGCCAUGAAUAGAACACUGUGGGGCACUGCUUUUUACAAAUAUCUUUUAUCAUUUCUUUUUUUUUUUUUUUUUUCAUACAGUUGUCUUUUAUUUCCUUGCAUUGUUGGUGGUAGAAAUUGCUGUAGGCCUCACAGGAAGCAAACAGCCAACUUGGAGUUUCAUAAAACACAGCGCACAGGCUUAAGCCUGCCCAGACACACUGUUAAGUGCAGGGCUGAGUGCAGGGCAGCUAUAUUACUGACAUUCAAGAGCUCUUUUACAAGUAAGUCAAAACAUAACAUAAUCUGAUUUAGGAUAUACCAACAUCGCAAUAGUAUGUCUUCUUUGAGCUAACUCAGGUUUUGGGGGGACUACAAAAAAUGUUCAUAAAGUAGUCCUCUCAGUUAAUAUACCUGGUUUCUCCACUACCUGACAAUUAGCCUAGGCAGAAAGCAAUGUUAAUGAGUCUCUUCUACUCUCUGCAUUUGAACUUCUUCAAGCAUCAUGAAGUAGCACAGAACUGUUAUAACCAUGACCACAAACUGGUCUCUUGGAUGAAGUCUGACUCCCCUUUAAGUCAAUAAAAGUUUAGUAAUAAUAUCAAUGAAGAAUUUAACCAAGUAGGAAGAGAAGAUAGCAUUAUUAUCUUGUUUGGUCUUCUACACUUUCUCCUUAUCCAGUAAUAACUCCAGAGUGAAAACAGUGCAAAAAGAAUCAGACUUGUGUUUCACACAUGAUUUCCAGCAGCCUCAGCAAUACGAAUUGGAAACCACCCAUCUAUCUGAUCCACGAAGACCACUAACCAUACACUCAAUAACAUACUUCAAUUUUUUGCUGUCUUUUUGGAUUAUUUCAAUGGCACAGCUCAAGGCAGCUGAGCUCAGUGCCUAAGGAGUUGCAGCUGUUCAUCAUGGAUGUGUCGGGAAGAAGAGGGUUUGGAGCUUGUUUCCAGAGAUCCUACUGUGUAGAGGGCUGGCAAGGACUGUGGAAAAGUGAGGGUAUUGAAAGAAUUUCUGUAAAGCUGUUUCCCAUAGUUGUGGCUUUGGUCACAUGUGGUGAAUAGCUGAGGUGGAUUUUGGUUGGACAGCCUGGACACUUUCACAGCAACUAUCAGGCAGUCAGCAUUUUGGAGCUGGUGACCAAAUUGUUGAGGGCUUUGGUUUUCAGCCAUUUUCCUUCAUAUAUCUUAUAAGACCAGCCCUGUACAAUGCUUGUAAUGAAAUAGGUCAAUAUUUACAUUUGAUUUUUCCAGGUUACCAGCAUGUGAAGGGAGGUCAGCCUUUCAGUUCACACUUAAAGUUUUUUGGGAAGCACUAUUCAAAGACACAUACAUUAAGUACAAUAGUCUAUCAAAAGGUGGCUUCCCAAUUUAUUUAUCAUAACUGAAAGAUGACUUCCCGACUUAUUUAUCAUAAAAAAGACAGAGAAGGUUCUUUUCUGAUGCUAAAUAAGCAGAUGACAUUGCUUUAAUUGUAUCACUGUAAAUAAGGCCUGGCAUUUUUGCUGCUGGCCUUUUGAGAUCUCAAAACCAACAUUCUUUGCAAUACUAGGCAGUUACCAUGGUGCAGUGGACUUAUUUUUAGCCAACAGAUGUAGAAUUUAACUAGCCAGAGAAUGAUGUAGAUACAUCAUGACAGAAGAGUUGUCAUAUGAGAUUUGUACAUAAAUCUACUAGAUACUUGUUCAAGUAAAUAUAAAUUACUUAUAUUUGAUUGAAGUGUUGCUCUUGUCUUCUGUGGGUCCCUGAAGCACAUGAGUGAUGAACUUAAAAAUAAAUAAAUAAAUAAAUAACGUUACAUUAUAAGGAAUUUUCAUGUCUAGUGGUAAGUGCAGAAGAUACAUAUUGACAAUUGUAAUAUGGAUCAAAUGCUUCACAGAUUAUGGAAUCUUUUUCCAUAUGGCACCCGCACAGUACAGUUUUAUGGGUCUACUUCUCCAGCUGCAUCAGUUUAUAGGAGGUGUAUAUGCCUACAAUGCCUGUCUCUUGGUGCUGAACAUAUCUCACCUCCCACUACUGUGGCAAAAGUAAACGAAGCAAGAUUUAGAAGAUAGAAGAGGAUGAAUGAAUGCAGCAGCCUUUGUGUCAACCCAGAAGACAGAAAGGAAGUGAUAUGUUGCAAAAGGAACCUCACGGAAAUUCCUGACAGUUUUUCCAUUCUCCCACAGAUUUUACUAACAUUUUGAUAAUCCUUUGUGCUAUAAUGACAAAGACUGUAUGAAUGUACACAGAUGAUGUCUAACAAAUGUCUUUUCUCUCUCUUCCCAUGUGUGUGUAUAUAUAUACACACAUACAUAUAAAAUUACAACCAUCUCUUAAAUACAACUUUUAUUACAAGCCAUAUCCUAAGGAGCUUCACGAUCCAUAAAAUGUGACAACAAAGCAAAUAGGUACCAUGUGUUCAAUACAAUCAUGGAAGAGACAUUUACAGGCACUCAGAGGUCACAGUGAUAUACCUGCAUGGAUUCAGGUUAUACUGCUCAUGAAGAAACUCUAGGUCCAUUGGAAUAGUAUAUACAAGUUCAAUGCUUAUUUUUCAUAUAAGUUCCACAUAUGGCAUGACCCUAUUGUGAUUUAGGUAUGAUUUUGUCUAAUGCUUGUAUGACUGUGAGGUUGAAACCUGAUACUUUCUGGAUGACUGGGCAUGGAAAUUGGGGAACAUGUUAAUGAAGAACAUUCAUGAAGUAAAGCCCCAUGUUAGACAGGAAGGCAAUUUGUGAGGCUGGCCACAAGCAAACAAAUCUGGCUGGCACCUCACUUGUCUCUUGCACAAGGUCACUAUCUGUUCAGGGAUGGAUGUCUAUAACAUGCUCAUUGAACUACCUAGGAUGUCCUCCAAGACAAAAACCAUGAGAAGUACUGUAGGUACCAAACAUUCAUAUAAGCAUGCUAAAAUAAGAUUAACAAAAUAAAUAAAGGAGAAAAUUAAUAUGAAAAUCUCUUUCCUUCCACUAAGUAAAGAUUGAAAACAAAAGGGAAAGCAAAGCAUAAUGAAAUUUUAGAUUAUCUUAAAUAUACCAUGGCCUAUCAGUCCCCUGUGACAAUCAAUUUAUAUUCACUAAAAGCAAAUAUUAUAACCAAAUUAAUCAUGUGGAAUGUUAAAGAAGAUGCAACUCCUGUAAUGGUGCACUAUUAAUAUGCAGUAAAUGCUGGCCUUGGUAAACUGUUUCUGAAAUGGACAGAAUGUUUCUCACUGUUGCUGAAUGAAAGCACACAGUGGAUCCAGAAUCAAAACCUAAGAUGUCUGUAACUUCAAGAAGAUUGCUUCAAUAUUUUUCUUCUUUUUGUCCUAAUCAAUAAAACCUAAUGAACUUCAGACACUGAAUAAUUUCCUGAUGCUUUCCUAAUUUUAUCCCUUUGGUCACCAAUUCUCUGCACCUAAACGCAUGACUUCUGUGAACUGUCUAGCCUGGAAUGACAUUUUCAUUUCUAAGUAAGAUUUUCACACAAUCCAUCCUCUGAGAUGUCAUAUUGCCAAAAGUCUGAUUUGUUUAAAAAAAAACCAAACAACCAAGCAUAUGAUAAAUCACAGAACUCGUGACACCUGUGACUGCCGUGAAGAAAAUCCAUUUUGCCUUAAGACUCCCAAUGGCCACCUCCUAGUAGCCUGCUGAUAAUUCAGUUUCUAUCCACAACAUUCACAAAUUUAUAUUUUUAAUUCAAUGUCUAAUAAAGAAUUUUGCCUGAUACAUUCAAUAGUAUCCUUCAGUGCUAAUAUUUUAUUUUGAAAAAAGCUUUGUUCUUUUUUUAAAAAAUGGAAUCCACUAUUUUAAAUAUGCUAUGUCUACAGAACACAAUAGUUGUGGUGGUGACGUGAAUUUAAAUAAUCAGAUCUGACAUAAUCUGAUUUCAUGAUGGCUGUCUACCCAUAAUUUGCCCUAUCAAGAAUGAUGCACAUCUUUUUAGAUGUUGUGAUGUGAAAUAAACAAAACUACUGGAAUUUCCCAGUUGGCUGGAAAUUAGUCUUUAUGAAUAUAUCAACAAAAAUCUAAAACAACAACAAAGAAAAACCUCAACAGAACCAAAACCAAACCUGCAAACAGGAAAGCAAGCAAAACACCAAAUUCUGCCUAAACAAUUUUAACCUCUGUCAAAGGGUGUCCAUGGUAUAUUUUCAGGUCUCCCAUCUUAUAAAGAGCAAGCUAUUAUUAAUCACUACUGCUAAGCUAGUCAGGAAAUUCUUGCAGAAUUUUCUCAUAUCAUCGUGUGUUGAUAACUUAUUUUUGUCAAAGUUCUAUAUUCUAAAAGAAAGAUAUUGAGAGAAUAACAAACUGAAGCUGAAGCUAAAUCAUAUAUUUACUUCUAUGAACUAUAUGAAUUUAAAUCAAACAAAGAAGAAUAUGAGACCUGGAAAUAUUGUUUAUGCUUUAUAGCUGGACAAUGACAGCCCAAAGAGAAGGGAGUAAAAGAACUCAGAAUGGGAUAUUUAGUUGUGAGAAAACAGAAGUCAGCUUACACUGUCUGUGCAAGAUUACACAUCGAUGCAAGGUUGCACUGCACAUCAAAACCUGGGCUAAGCUCAGAACACAAACUACAGAUCUCCUGAUCCAACCUGGUGUGCUGUUCAGACAUCCAUUCUCCAUGAAGGUAUCUAAAUAUCAUUUUUGUCUAGUUGUGUUGCCUUAUAACAAAAAAUACUGUAAGCUUUCUUUGAGGAAUAUUAGUCCUUUGUUAUAGUGGCUGCAUGGAAGUGGUUAUAAAAUAUUUUGUCAUUAGCUUCAUCUGCCCAGAGUUCAAAUUUCAUUUCUAAAUUUUUUACUUUAAAUCCAAGAGAGAAAAGGAAAUUAUUUUGGCUUUAGGAAUAUUUAAUAUACUGGUAGAACUCUUACACUGUACACGUUUCAAAUAUAAUAAUUUUAAUGUAUGUUUAUUAAUUCUUAGAAAAUAUAUAUAUUUUCCAUUGAAAUGGAAAUUUCUCUCUGAAAUACGUAUUCUGGAAAAAAUAUUGUACAUUUUUUUUUUAAAUACUUUGUUUUAGAAAACAAAAUGAAGACUUUCAGAUGUUCAUUGUAGUUUUUCAGGAAAACGAUGGUAAUGCGUUGCUGAUUGGGGUUAUGAUUUCUUUAUAGAAGUACAAUUGGAAUGGAUGAAGGACAAAAUCUACACAAGGUUUUUGGAAGAAGUUUACAAAAUCAUUAACCAUACACUAGCAACUCACCAAUAACAAAUGAGUCCAAACCCGUAAAUGCAAUUUUUCUGUUGAAUUAUUUGACUAGUUAGAUUUAAUAAAUCUUUAAAUCAGACCUUCCUUCUGAGGUAUCUUUUAUUGUGUUCUUUCACAUUCAUGUAGCUUUAUUGAUUGUAUCUUCUUCACUGCCAUAUGUUAAAUUGCAAGCAAUAAAAUUGAAACAUUAAAUCACAUUUCUUUCCUUUCAUGUGUCACUUACCUAUUGCGAACAUAUGUUACACUGGCACAAUAAAACUUGCCCUGAAGGCCUACUCUGUGUACACAACAUUGUGAAAAUGGAGGCAUAUAAAAAUGUCCCUGUGUCCUAACUGAAGAUUAAGCUUCCAUAAAAUAAUAUUAUAAAUAUUUAAAACAUAAAAUAUGACUUGCAAUGAUGUAAUAGCAAAUUCUCUGGAGUCUGUGGCUGUAAAAGGAACACAGAAGGAUAUCUGCAGGAGGUCUUCCAGCAAAGUUUACCGCUUCACCUAGGAUGCAGGACACAAAUUUUUCCUGAAAGAGUUUAUCCCAGACACUCUUUCCAGCCAGUUGGAUUUUUGCCAG
Columba livia (rock pigeon) is the source of this 6562-nucleotide long non-coding RNA. RefSeq lists it as uncharacterized. NCBI's taxonomy places the organism in Eukaryota, Metazoa, Chordata, Aves, Columbiformes, Columbidae. The transcript has 4 exons. The record is from RefSeq and is a predicted model, not a curated record.